Molecule: long non-coding RNA, 3112 nt
Filed under: Homo sapiens (human)
Lineage: Eukaryota; Metazoa; Chordata; Mammalia; Primates; Hominidae
Description: HSALNT0383600
Source: RNAcentral
GCACAUUUCUCUCCUUUGCUGAUAGGGCCUGCGUGCUGAUAGUUGAUUCAGUGAAUAUAUGUAGCAGUGAUAGCUCAUGGGCUCCAGAGGUCAGAUAUCUUAUUCUCUAGGCUGAAACCCUUGUUGCUUUAAGGAAACAGGAUUUUAAUAGGAAUCACAUGCAGAUUGACUACAGGGAGCCAAGCGGUAGUGGAAGAAGCAAAGUUGGCGGUUUUGGAGACGGACGUCUAUCUAUCCACAGUGGGACAAAAAUGAAGGUUAUUGAAAAGAAUCAUGCUUGGUGGAAGAAGUAAUUACAUUUUUUUUUCAAAUCUCAGAGGAAUAAUGCUUUUAUAUUUCCUGCGAUGACCCAAUUUGCACUACGAUAUGCUCCCUUAAAUGUAAGUGUGCGGACACCCUCGCCCUGUAUUGUUUUUCACUGGUAAAGAUGCCCUGUCGUACCUCAGAUUAAUUUCUGUACUGGUCUCCCAAUACACAAAAGCAACUGCACCAUGGUUGUCCGUUUUUACAAUGAUGAGUAAAAAAUGGCAGACUUGGCCAGUUGUCCCCCCAAAAAAAGUCAGAGAGUCAAGUAGCUGCAGCUAUAAAUCAUCUUCUCAAAUUGUGUGAUUCAGGGCCACUGACCUGUCUUGAGCGGGAAGGAAGUGGCCUGAGUGCUCCAAAGGAGAGCUGGGGCUCUAGCUUCAGCAGCCAGGUGCUGGUUAAUUGGACUGGAAGAAAGGGUUUCUUACUCCUAGUCCUUGUUCUCCAGCCUUACUGUAUAUGCAUCUAUCUCUAGAACUCUGCUAUCCACAGCUAUACAGGAACAAGCUUCAGAAAUAUCUUUUCUCUACAAUGAGAGGUAGUAUUUUAAAAACUGUAUUAAAUAUUUGUUAAAAUGUGUGUAUCUAGCAACAUGAUUGCUAAGAAAGACUCCAAAAUAGUGUUUAAUACCUCUGAGCCAUUCUUUGAUUAUUUUUAUUAAAAUGCUUAAAGCACUUUCUGGAAAUUUAUUUGUGUUUGAUAUAGAUAGGAACUCACUGUGCAUAAAACUAAGCUUAGUUUUGAAAUGUCAAACAAACCUUCUAUGACCUUUGGCUUGCAGUGAGGUAAACAUUUAUUUGGGAAAUACGUAUGUGUGAUUGCUUCUCGCUAUUUUGGCUAAGAUCAAGUGUAGGAAAUAUAUGUAUGUCGCCUGUUCCAGUUUACUUACAAACAAAUUCUUGAUUUUCGGAAAAAAAUGAUCACGCAUUGUGUCAUUUAGCAUGUUAGAAGGCCCUAAUCUUAACUCUUUUCAACCUCCAAAAAAGAUGGGUGCUUAAACAAUGUUAAUGAGGAAAAUAAAUGAAGAUGUUAAUGAGGUUUCUACCUUUCUUAAGGAAAUGUUUAGAUUUUUAUUUCUUAUACUCAUUUUCUCAUACUAGCUAUGGAAAUAAUGAUGAGGAUAAUUUGGGGUGAUUUGUUCUGAGAGCUGACAGGGAGGUAGGGUUUCUAUCACCUGCAGUAACUCAAAGGGAAGUACACACGAGCCCUAGACUACCAGAUAUUCAACAAACACUUGCACUGUAUGACUAAGAAAAGAGAAUUUGCUUCUGUUUCACUAACAUGGACUUCUGACACUUUACAUAAAUGAUCAUAAUGUUGAUGUUUAGUGGUUAAUGGACAUUUAUGGCCUCUGAGAAGGCCUGUGCCACCAGAUAACUCAUGCUCAAGAACACGACUGUAGAUUUGAGUAAUCUUGUAAUGAAUCAUUAGGUAUAAAAAGACCCUUAAUAUUGCUCUCUUUUCUUUCUUUAUUGUACUUUAAGUUCUGGGAUACAUGUGCAGAAUGUGCAGGUUUGUUACAUAGGUAUACACAUGCCAUGGUGGUUUGCUGCACCCAUCAACCCGUCAUCUAGGUUUUAAGACCGCAUACAUUAGAUAUUUGUCCUAAUGUUCUCCCUCCCCUGGCCCCCCACCCCUGGACAGGUCCCAGUAUAUUUUGUUCCCCUUGCUGUGUCCAUGUGUUCUCAUUGUUCAACUCCCACUUAUGAGUAAGAACAUGUGGUGUUUGGUUUUCUGUUCUUGUGUUAGUUUGCUGAGAAUGAUGGCUUCCAGCUUCAUCCAUGUCCCUGCAAAGGAUAUGAACUUAUUUUUUAUGGCUGCAUAAUAUUCCAUAGUAUUUAUAUGCCACAUUUUCUUUAGCCAUUCUAUUAUUGAUGGGUAUUUGGGUUGGUUCCAUCUCUUUGCUAUUGUAAAUAGUGCUGCGAUAAACUUACGUAUGCAUGUGUCUUUAUAGUGGAAUGAUUUAUAAUCCUUUGGGCAUAUAACAGUAAUGAGAUUGCUGGGUGAAAUGGUAUUUCUGGUUCUAGAUCCUUGAGGAAUUGCCUCACUGUCUUCCACAAUGGCCAAACUAAUUUACACCUCCACCAACCAUGUAAAAGUGUUCCUAUUUCUCUACAGCCUUGCCAGCAGCUGUUGUUUUCUGACUUUUUAAUAAUUGCCAUUCUGACUGGUGUGAGAUGGUAUCUCAUUGCGGUUUUGAUUUACAUUUCUUUAAUGACCAGUGAUGAUGAGUUUCUUUUCAUAUGUUUGUUGUCUGCGUAGGUGUCUUCUUUUGAGAAGUGCCUGUUCUUCUUCACUCACUUUUUGAUUUUUUUUUCUUGUAAAUUUGUUUAACUUCCUUGUAUAUUCUGGAUAUUAGCCCUUUGUCAGAUGGGUAGAUUACAAAAAAUUUCUCCCAUUCUGUAGGUGGCCUGUUCACUCUGAUGCUAGUUUCUUUUACUUUGAAGAAGCUCUUUAGUUUAAUUAGAUCCCAUUGGUCAAUUUUGGCUUUUGUUGCAAUUUCCUUUGGUGUUUUAGUCAUGAAGUCUUUGCCCAUGCCUGUGUCCUGAAUGGUAUUGCCUAGGUUUUCUUCCAGGGUUUUUAUGGUUUUGGGUUUUACGUUUAAGUCUUUAAUUCAUCUUGAGUUAAUUUUUGUAUAAGGUGUAAGGAAGGGGUCCAGUUCCAGUUUUCUGCAUAUGGCUAGCCAGUUUUCCCAGCACCAUUUAUUAAAUAGGGAAUCCUUUCCCCAUUGCUUGUUUUUGUCAGUUUUGUCAAAGAUCAGUGUUGGAAAUGUAUUGGCAAUGUCUAAGCUCUGACUAGUGAUUGAGGA